UACGAAGGGGGCUAGCGUUGCUCGGAAUCACUGGGCGUAAAGGGUGCGUAGGCGGGUCUUUUAAGUCAGGGGUGAAAUCCUGGAGCUCAACUCCAGAACUGCCUUUGAUACUGAAGAUCUUGAGUUCGGGAGAGGUGAGUGGAACUGCGAGUGUAGAGGUGAAAUUCGUAGAUAUUCGCAAGAACACCAGUGGCGAAGGCGGCUCACUGGCCCGAUACUGACGCUGAGGCACGAAAGCGUGGGGAGCAAAUAGG
This 254-nucleotide ribosomal RNA is filed under the name uncultured bacterium. RNAcentral's name for it is "partial 16S ribosomal RNA". It matches the Rfam family "Bacterial small subunit ribosomal RNA", at positions 524 to 776 of the family's 1533-position model. The record is from RNAcentral.